Helianthus annuus (common sunflower) is the source of this 1747-nucleotide long non-coding RNA. RefSeq lists it as uncharacterized. The record is from RefSeq and is a predicted model, not a curated record. Lineage: Eukaryota; Viridiplantae; Streptophyta; Magnoliopsida; Asterales; Asteraceae. The transcript has 6 exons.
CAGCGAUUCCAGAUCUGGAUCUAGGGUUUUUCUCCAUCACGUUUCUACUACUCCAAUUCCUCACGGAAAUCAUACAGUCCUCUCAAAAUCAAACAGUCCUCUCAAAAUCAAACUCAAGUCUAGGUUUUGAACUUCACGGAGAGUUGAAGAUGAUGCAAGCAGCUGUUUUAAUUGGUGGUGGUUAGCAACGAUAGAGAUGGUGGUGGUCUGCGGCUUGUGGUAUUAAUGGUUAGCGUCAACAGAUUCUGGUGACCCAACCUAGGGUUAAGAGCUUCGACCAGAUUCUGGUAGCCCUAUCUAGGGUUCUGACCAUAACCCCAAUCCGGUGAAAGUUGUAGAUCUGGUCAGUAAAGGAAUGACAACGAAUUUCGUGUUGUGUGAUUAGUGAAGAUCUUCUAAAAGAACAAAAUAUGUGAAGAAAGAGUAUAAGGAAAUCCAGGAGGGUAGUUCUCUUUUUACACAACUACUGUAAUUGUUCAGCAUACCCCCCCCACAGACACACGUGAGAGGUGAUAUUGGCCCGUUUACCUUUAAAAUGGGUCGAUUUGGGUUCAGUUUCGGUGGGCUGAGUUGCAGGUCACAAGGUAGAGGAGUGGUGAUAUUUGUGCAGUUCAGAACAGGUCAGAUUGGGGUAUUGGGACCUAGAUGUGGGGAAGAUGAGUCGUUUCUGAUGGUCAAUCUACUGCUUAUAGAAGUUAUGUUGAAAGGUUCAUGGCCCUUGAUGAACUUUAGUCUGAUCCAAACUCAAAGAGUUUGAAGAUCGGUGACCUUUGGUGGCAAUGGUCAUGAAGAAGCCAUGGUAGCAGUCAGAAUCAAGACUAGAUGGAAGUGGUUUUGGGUUGCUAGGGUUCUGUCAUGAACCCAGGCAGUGCUGACACCUUAGAAGAGCUCGAUGAUGAUUAGGGGUUGAUUCCAGGUAGUCAAGAACAUAAUAAGAUCGAUGGCUCCUUUCAUCCAGUUUCGGUCGUUCAUCGGGUGCCGCUACGAAACCAAAGACGGGAUUGGUUAUGGUAUGUCUCCAGGUCUGAUUCCUUUCAUUGCUGAUAUACAGUCUGAACACAGGUAACUUUAAUUUCAAUCAUUAGUGCAGCAGUCCGGUUUAUCAAUUGUUCAUUGUCACCGUCUAUUGGUUUUUAGAUACUAUUUUCUAAGCGUGUUUGGUUGACUGAAUAGACUUGAUUUAGAGUUUGUGCAAAGGGGUUGUUUUGUGAUUUUUCUAUUAUGUAAUGUUAUAAUAUGAUUUGAAGUUACGAAGUUCAAUACAAAAUUUUGGGUUAUAAAUUAGCUAAAUUGUCGUUUGGAAUGGUCUAUUUGGCGACUGCUUAUUCGGAUUGAUUAUCUGCUUAUUGUGUUUUGUUGCAGCAAUAACAUGUUUUGAGGGCGUUUGGAUUGGUUAAUUAAACUUUCUUAUGUGAUUAGUUGCGAGUGAAAUAAGCUAUUUUGAACACGCGGUUUGAAGUUGUUUAUUCCAAAUUGCUUAUUAUAACCGGAUAAAAAGUUUUAAUAGAUAAUCUGAAACACCUGUAGUGUUGAAUUGUGUUUAACUAUGAACUGUUGGUUCUGGUGCAGUGGAUAGAUAAGGAAGGAUAGACUGCAGAUGGAGCUGAUGCAGAUGAAGAUAGAAUUGAAUUGCUACUGAAGGAAGGAAAGGGUAAAGAUACCGCAGAACUACUUGCUUUGGGAAGGGAAAACAUAUUUUGAAAACAUAUUUUUUACGCGUAGGUUUGAGUACAUUUUUGUAGAUUAU